Long non-coding RNA from Dicentrarchus labrax (European seabass), 596 nucleotides. RefSeq lists it as uncharacterized. Lineage: Eukaryota; Metazoa; Chordata; Actinopteri; Moronidae. The record is from RefSeq and is a predicted model, not a curated record. The transcript has 2 exons.
GAUUAGCAAUAAGUAAGGUGUUUACAUGUGAUACAGAGGGCACUCUCCAAGAAAUGCAAAUUAAUGUUACACAUGUAACAUCUUUUUAUCAGAUACAAACCAUCUUUACUAUUCUGCUCUCCAGUCCACUCACUGAACAUUAUGUAGCUGUAGAUCAAACUCAUUAAAGUUUGCAUUGUUUUUGAAAAUGUGUUUGUCUUAAGAAAGUUGAAGCAUGGAAAGCUACUUCCUGUUUAUCGAUGUCAAUGUUUUAUACAUUUGUUUUUGAGGCCUGUUUACUUGCAAAUUCCAUCUAUUAAAUAAAUAAUGAACAAUAUUCCCACUGCUUCAUAUGGUCUCAAUAGAUUGUCAUUGUGGCUGCUUCACAGCACGGCGGGCUCUUAAAGUUGGGGUUCCCGCCUCAUAGCGCCACAUAGAGCACUCUGAUUGGGUCUGGGCUUUUGUCUUCUGGGAGGAGGGCCAUUGAGACCUAAUCCUCCUCUCCGGCCCGACUCACUCCCACUGUCAUCAGUUUAAGUCGGAGCGUUCAGAGCCUCGUGGUCUGGACUGCUGUGAAGAGAAAAAAACACUGAGGGGUCUGUCCCCAAUGAUGACUC